ACAGCAUGAGCUUGGGAAGACCGACUGGUUGCUUGCCUCAAUGGACAAGAUGCAUUAGUUAUUUAGUUUAUCCAUCUUCUCUCAAUCUUGCUUACAUAGCAAAAUAGAUGCCUCCUUUUGGAUUUGAUGAUAUCUGCCUUCACCAAAAGAAAGAACAUAUUGGAAUUUGUCAUUCGUUAUCCUGUGAAGCUUGAGGCUAGGGAAUGUGCAUAGAUGGAACACAAUGUGAGUCUAAUGGGUGAAGACCACUCCAUAUCACAGAACAAUAACAUGAAGAAAUCAGACAUCCACAGAAGUUAUACUAGUAGUAGAGAACUUCUGUGGAUGAGCUUUGGACAGAUGGGCUUAUUUGUGCCUUUGAAUUUGUCCGAGGACAUGGUAGGAGAUCAAUAAAUUCUAAGUCUACCAUAAGCAAACAAAUAGACAGCGUGCAUGCAAAUGGAAUAAGAGAGUCUUCUUCCCCAAGACUGGAUCGGAACAAACUGUUGGAAUCCUCGUCCAUUUGUGAGUCUAGGGGUAAUCAGAGUGCUCCUUUAAGUGAAUAUAAAGACAGCCUGAUCGAUCAAUCAGGACAAUAUCAUGCUGUGGAAAGAUCUGGGGAUACUCGUUGGGUACCGAUUGGUUGGGCUAGAAUCUCAGAACUUGUUAAAAUGGUGCAAACUGAUGCAAACUGGGCUACGCAGCAACUGGAGUUGAUGGAUGAAGAAGAUGGUCUUACUGUUGCAGAAUUAGCAGCUCCCUACUGGGAGCGCCCCGCAGGGCCCAUAUGGUGGUGCCAUGUUGCUGCAGGUCAUCCCUCUAUCCAGGCCUGGCUCAGCGA
Molecule: unclassified non-coding RNA, 820 nt
Filed under: Hevea brasiliensis (rubber tree)
Lineage: Eukaryota; Viridiplantae; Streptophyta; Magnoliopsida; Malpighiales; Euphorbiaceae
Source: RNAcentral